Molecule: ribosomal RNA, 253 nt
Filed under: uncultured prokaryote
Description: partial 16S ribosomal RNA
Rfam family: Bacterial small subunit ribosomal RNA
Source: RNAcentral
ACGGGGGGGGCAAGCGUUGUUCGGAAUUACUGGGCGUAAAGGGCGCGUAGGCGGCGAUCCAAGUUAGGCGUGAAAGCCCCGGGCUUAACCUGGGAAUUGCGCUUAAGACUGGACUGCUUGAGUGCGGGAGAGGUGAGUGGAAUUCCCAGUGUAGAGGUGAAAUUCGUAGAUAUUGGGAAGAACACCAGUGGCGAAGGCGGCUCACUGGCCCGCAACUGACGCUGAGGCGCGAAAGCGUGGGGAGCAAACAGGA